GAGGGUGUUUUGCUGGAGACCUCUCCCUCCUGGAGGCCUUCUGAAGGCCCUCCAGUGGCACUGCACACAUGGGUAUGCAAUAGAUUUGAACCUGGAGCUCGAAGUGCUCCCCUCCAGCAGCAGCAGCAGCAGGGCUGCAGACAAUUUUGUGGAGCUGAGCAGGGCGGCAAUGAAUACUGCAAUGUUCUGCAGUGACCCCUCGGAGCCAUCUGGAGGUGGCGUGGGCCCACAGGAGGCAGAGGAGGCUCUGCAACGCAAAGACUCACCCACGAUUCAUUGAAGACUGUGCUGUAUGAAAAUACAGGAAGAUUGGAGUGGGAGUACUGGAAGAUGAUGGAAGAGAACACUGCUGAAUGAAGGUGCUCAAACAAAUACUACAAGAACUACCCAUCCAACAGCAAUGGAGAGAGGAACGUGGAGGAGAAAACAGUAGUUCUUCCUUCUGGAUGGCCAUGUGGCCUUCUGGAUGUGUUGGAAAGCUGAGUGCUCUGACAUGCUGGCUUUUUACUUUGACCAUAUUCACGUCCAGGUGUGUGAUGAUUUUCAUGCUUAUGUAUGGGAAGCAGAGACAGAGUUGGUCCUGAUGGAAGAAGAGACUCUUGUAGCUGACAGCUGGCAGUGCUGUCCCCAGUACAGCAAUUUAGGGAUCAGCAGCUGGCUGAUGAGAUUGAAGGUCAAAGCCCGAACAGUCUGGUCUGAAAGAAGAAAACAACAGAGCUGCAAAGUUAGUGAUACAGUGCCUGUCCCAUGUGCACACAUUCAAUGUUAUGGAUUUUGUUACAAAAAUUAGAAUGCAGAAACAUGAAAAUGCAAUGUGAGACAUUUAAGAGGUGAAUGAGGAGAUGCUUAUUCCUUCUUUCCUCCCACAUCGUCUCAGCCCAAAUACGCAGGUUUUUGUCAAGUUGUCUGAUAACUUUUCAGGCACAGCCUUACUACUUUCCACAAAAUGUGAAUGGAAGUUGGUGGAUAUAUUGCAUGGGGAGACAAGUUGGAAGUGGAACUGGCUGGAUUAGCCUUGGACAAAAGCAUGUCUGUUAAAGGAUAACUUUCUGAAUGCAACAAUGCCAGCAGAGUGGCACUUGUGUUCACCAGCACUGGACAUGUGGAAAUCAGAGUGUCUGUGUGUAACAGACAGGUGUUAAAGCACAGUUGAUGCUAAACUUGGGCUCACAGUUUUGUAUGUACUGAGUGCAGUGUGGGGCACUGAUUAUUGCACAGUGAGAAUUGGAUCUGAAGAAGUAAUAAUUUUCUCCAUGGUUUUUGUCUGAAACAAAUGAAAGUUAUCAUAGAAAUAUAUCACUGGAGACAUUCCUGGAAAGAACAUUCUGUGCAAUUAUUUGUGCCUGCUAGAGGCAUAACAAAAUGUAAAGGCUGAAAACUCAAGCUGGGAAAAUGCACUUCAGGAUCAUGACGUGGGUUUUCAGUAGUGCAAUGCUCUCCGUGGGCAUGGGCUAUUGAGAGAAGCAGUCAACUUCAGCACUGCAGAUGAAAGGAUUCAGGACUGGAAGCUUCUAUAAAAAAAAAAAAAAAAUUGUCUGAGUCCAUGAGCAGUUACUGAACUUGCUGACAAGUAUAUAUGCACAGCAAGGCAUACUAAGUAAUGGCCCCUAUUUGUUCCCAUGGAAACUGGAACAGAUUAAAAGAGCACAAUAACACAAUCUGAAAGAGCAAGUUCUCAGCUCUAAAUCACUGUUUUUCAACAUAGUUAUCACUGUUAACUCUGCAUUUUCACCAGUAAUGAACAAGGUUCUGCAUGCUGUGCUCAUAAAUAUCUGCAUGGCCAUCCACAGCAUCUUAUUUUUCACAUUGCUGUCACCACCCAUGAAAUACAGCACCCGCUGUCUCCUUGUGCCAACAGCCACACUUAGGGCUCCAUAAACACUCAGUGAAUGUCAAUAAAUGUCAAUGGGUGCAUAUUUUUCCUCACAGGGGAAUUUGGUUCCACCCUUUGCUCCAUCCCCACUUCCACGAGGCACUGUUCUGUCAGACCGCCCCUCUGCUGCCCUCUGUUACACAGCACCAAAUGAAUACUGGCAGGAACAUCCAACCCCUGCUGCCAUACCACCUCCAUCCACCUCUGAUGGCAAUGGCCAACAUUGUAAAAUAGGAGGCACUAUUUUUGAAGCAGCCCUCAUAAUGUUCUUCAUUGCAGGUAUUACUGAGCAAAAUUGUGUCUGCUUGUGUUUCAGGUCAGGUUAGAUGACAGUGGCCUUCUCUAGCCUUGGUUGUGACAGAGACAGUGAGGGUUUGCAAGAGACAAAACCACAAAAAUCAGCUGUUUGAGCAGUGACCAUUCCCUUGUUAGGGGCAGGAUUGCACCACAGUGGUUGGACAUGCGUAGAGCUUACGGUAGGUUGUGCAGCACUGUGAGCUGAAAGGCCAGUUAGCACACUCAAUAUUGGUUGCUGUAAAAGAGCACUAAUGAGUGUGCUAAUUAUGUAGCAGCUUGCAGUGACACACACAUAGAAAAUUGUGACGAUUGGAUGUUGAAAUAUUCCUUCACAUGUUUUUAUUUUGGUAAAAGUUCAAUUAGUUUGAUGCAAUUUACCUUGUGCUGUCCUGUUCACUGAAGAUUGACUAUAGCGACUACCCAUGGAGACUCAGAGGGCCGUGAUGACCCAGGUGACUCAGACUUCUUGCUGUGUUAGAAGCAAAUUCUGCACAACCGAACUCUCCUUUCUGAGGCCAGCAUGGUUGGGUAGCCAACCACAGACAAAGGCCAUUAAUGCACAGAGAGACAUACAAGAUUAUAAAACUCACAGUCUUCAGCUAGGAGCCUUAGGAAGAACAGAAGUUUCCCUUAUCUUAUGUGUUAAUUUGUAUCUGCAUGUAUUGGAGCCAAUAGAAACGAUGUAUUAGUCAUUCUCAAAACAAAAUUGUAUAAGUAAGCCAUUUCCCCCCCCCCCAAGUAUUUCAUUAUCUGGAACACUGCAGUCAUUUUUAUCUGUUUUUAGAAUUCAUUUGUCAGUGUCUUUCAAGAACUCUUGCCUUGAUGCACUUUGUCCAGAGUGGGCUACCCAGUACUGCACUUAGAUAGGAAAGGAGAAGUGAGAAGAAGAAAGGGAGUUUGGAAAUGCAAAGAGCUCACAAAGUCACCCAUUAAUCCGUUUACACGUAGAAGUGAACUUCACAAUGUGAUCUAAAUGGCUGCUGGGGAUUUCAGGCACUCCCAUUAAGAGAAGAUUAUGAUUCCGCUGUCUUACUGUGUAAGAGGUAAUGUAGGAAAGGCUGAGCAGCAGCUGGAUGUUCAAACUGAGGGUUUUCUUUAACCAUUUCAGCACGUUUCCUUGAAGCCUUUAGUCUCAUCCAUUUGGAUGGGCAGCAGAGGAAAUUUUGUUUAUGGUUAGGCUCGUUCCAGCCAUGAAAUUAACAGAAUAAGUACAGAUAAAAGUAGAAAGAUUAGGGAGAUUUUAAUUUGGUACAGGCAUUCUUAAAUGUUUAUUUGCUUUUUGGUCUUGGAACUUGCCCCAUCACUUAAUGAAUAAGAAUGCUCCAUAGCAGCUGCAAAGAACAGCGGUGAGAUGAAGGCAGUAUGAAUUGAGUGGCCUGGGACAAAUAGUAAAGUUAGGAGCAUUAACAAAAUCAUUUUUGACAACUGAUGUAAACUGAAAGCUGCAGAUCAUACAAGAAGGAAGGGUGAGAGGUACCAGGAGGCAGUCACUGCUUUGUGUUUUAUUUCCAUAACAAAACUGACUUAAAUGAUGCCAUGCAGUUGGUGACAACAUAGCCUUCCUAAAGAUCUGUAAAGCAGAGCUCCCUCAUCCUUGGCAUCUCAUCAUCUUGGUGAAGAUGAGUGAGUAAAACAUAUUCUCCACACCUGUGAAUGAUUUCCACAGCUGACUCUGAAGCAGUGGUAUGCUCUAAUUUCCAGAAGUUGGGAGAGCUGCAGCCUAAGGCCACUUCUCCGCAUCCCUGCAUGACCUCGUGCUGCAGCACUGCCAUCCUCAGGGGGCACCCGGGGUCCCUCACACUGAGCUGUUGUGCUGCACCUCCUUAUGUCACCCUGUGACCAUUUCAGCAGAUGUGAAGUUAGGAGAGCACCUGAGGGUUUUAUUUAUCCUGGACAAUGGCUGAGUUAAGCAGACGUUGGUAUCUGUGCCUUGAAAUGAGUGGGAUUAAUGAAUGUCUACAGUUUCCACUGUUAAGAUUGAAGAAGAAAUUCUUAAGGCCUUCGCUGCCCACAGAAUGUACAGACAUUCCUUUUUUUGGCUCUUUUUCUCCCGUGUUUCCCAAAAUUCCCAUAGAACCCAAGGAGAGCAUUGGUACAGCAUUGUUUUUAUAGCACUCUGGGUUCGCAGCAUUCUAAAACACAUCAGUGACUCAUCUGAAGUUUUUGAUUACAACUUCUUGCCUCAGUGCUUACAUUCACUUCUUAAAUAUUGACGGUGUCCUGAAAAAGUCGUGUUACCAAGGAGAAAGUAGCAAUGGUUUAUCAGAACACACAGUGCUUGAUAACCCCUGCAGAAGGGUAGAACUUUGAUUCACAGCUACUUUAUUUCUGCUUUAUGCCAACUUAAUUAUAUCCUAAACGGGGGACAAAAGGACCUUUUCCCACCUUUGCUAUUGUGUCACUCUUUCACUCUGCUGACACACCAAGGCUUCCCAGAUCUCCAUUCUGCUCCGUUCCAGGGGAUGUGUUACCUCAAAUCACUUACAGCAUGUUUAGCCAGUAGGAGUUUGUGAAUUGUUUUAUCAUUCUUGCUGGAAAAUUUGUUGAAUUGUUGAUAUCACUCCUAAUAGUUUCCAGCUUUGUGUCAUUUAUGUUCAUGUGAGUUGCUUUUUUUUUUUUUUCUUUUUCUUUUUUUUUUUUAAUUUAUUGAACACAUUCAUCAGGCAUUAUUUAUGGAGUUUGAUGUUAUUACAGCCAUGAUUGUGAGAUGUGAUAUUUUCCUGGUGUUUCAUUUUAUUAUCCUUUGCAUACACUGUAAAGACUCAGCUCUGCCCAUCAAACAACUUUUGCUUUGGUUUUCAGUCAGGUUAACAGUCUCUUGUUUUUAACACCAUCUUUUCCAAGAAACCAGCAAAGGUUACCUGACUGUUUUUCACAUCCUCUCAGGUAUUUCAGUGAGCUCUCCUUGUGCUGCUGAUUGCUUUCCUUUGCAAAUCAGAGCCUUUUUCAGCUUGACUGUAUAAAGGACUCUCCAAGUGCACCUUUGGGUGCUUAUGGAAACAUUGUCAGCUAGGAGCAGAUGACUGGAAAUUAGCUCAAGGCUCCAUAUUUUGAGAUCAGCAGUCACAGAAUAAUGACGGUAUUUUCCUUCAUGUGUUUAAGAGUCAUGGAUUACUCCCCCUGCUUUACAGCUGGACCGAGCAGCGUGGCUCCAGUAGACUGUGGAGGAGCUGCAUUACAAGUCUUAACUCUGUUGAGUGCUUGGAAACUAAUCAGGGAGUAUGCUGUUACCUCGCAGGUCCUCAGAAUUUUGACUGUGAUUUGCAAUUCCUGUGACGAUUUGCAGACUUGCCCAGCACCAUCUGAGCAUUAUCUAAAGCAGUCACACCCUGAGAUUCUUUGAGAUCUUCCUUGGGAAAACCAGAGCCCAGUUCUGUGCCUGACCACUCUUUCAGAGAAGAAAAUUUUCCCAAUAUCUAACCUGAACCUCUCCUGGUGCAUCUAGAUGCCUUUCCCUCUCAUCCCAUCACCACAUACACAGGAGAAGAGAAUGACCCCCACCUCACCACAGUAAGGUCUCCCCUGAGCCUUCUCUUCUCCAGACUGAACAAUCCCAGUUCCCUCAGCUGCUCCAGACACCUCCCCAUGUUGGCCAAAGCCCCACCCAGUUCACUGAUAGGGUACCCACACUGCUCUGGCCAUCCUAUGCCAGUGUCUCAUUGUUCUCAAGGUGAAGAAUUUCUUCCAAAGUCUUGAAUUUCUUUUACAUCUGCCUGUGUACAAGCAGGUGACAUCAUCUGGUGGAUGGAUCCAUUAGUGAUUCAGGCAGCUGGAAGCCAAAUUUGAACUUUUCUGCUGUUUUCCAUCCAAAAACCACAGUAUGCUUGAAAAAAGAAAAAAAAAUGUUGUAAAUAAAGACUCUUAAUUGCUACUAGAGCAAAAGGAGUAAUGGAUAUUUUCUACAGAUGGAAAUAAUACAUAAAGCAACACAUGCAGCAUUUGUUAGUAUUACAAAAGUGAGGACAUACAAAAGAAGCACAGAAUGGUUGACAUUGGAUGGAGCCCAUGGAGAUUGCUUAGUCCAGACCCCCUGCAUGAAGGCAGGAGCAGCUACAGCAGGCUGUCCAGCUGUGCCUGGGUGACUGCUGGCUGUGUCCAAGGAUGAAGACUCCACAGCCUCUAAGGAAUCUGUCACAGCACUUGACUGUACCUAUGAGGAAAAAAAAAUAACUUAGGCCUAAAUGGUAUAUCCUGUAUUUUGGUUUGUGACCCAAAACUACAUUAGAUUUAAGCACGUGUCUUCUAUUCAUGUUCAGUUAUUGAAGACAAGAUGACAACAAAUAGCAGCACAUUGCCCUGACUCCUCGCCCUAUGGCACAAGCACCACUGUCACCGCUACUAACAUCAGAGAUGAGUUCAUAGCAGACAUUUCAUAAGACAUCUGAUGCAGAAUGCAAGCUGCUAAACACUGAUGUUCUCAGGUCUCUGAAACUGAGGUACAAAGGCUGUAUGUGUGUUUGAAAAGCAAACAAACAACAGAGACAGAAAGAUGUAUAGGCUAACAAACUCAACACAUUGCUGCAACUGUUUCAAGAGCUUUAUUUAUUACAAGCACUUUGGAAGGAAGGACAAAAGCAUAUGCCAGAAAAUGAUUAAAGAGUGAACUGGGGAAGUUUAGACUCCUUCGGAAUAAAUCUAAGUAAUGGACAGCAUUUAUUAUGUCUGUUUAAAAGCAAAGUAAUAAGGACAAAGGGUAAAUCUACACUAGCAAUUAGCUAUGAAUUCUUUUUUUGUGUCUAUGCCACCCAGCUACAGUCAUGUCAGCUUUCUAUAUUCACUUGCCAGAAAAAGAGCUGUGCAAAACCAUGACUUUUGUUCAGGCAGGAGGUAGAUAUAUGCUUCAGCUGCUGUCCACAGCUGCACACAAUCAAUAUGCACCAGGCCUGCAAAUACAGAGAGAUCUUCCCCCAAAAAAUCUUACUCCAGGCUGAAUUCCAAUUCCUUACUAAGAUAUCUUUUUUUUUUUUUUUUUUUUUUUUUUUUUUUUUUUUUUUUUUUUUUUUUUCCCCCACUGGCAUCAGUUUUCCCAAAUGCUGACCCCAAAUUCCCCUUCUGUCUACCUGGAAACCUGGCUGGUAGACCCACACUGGGCAUUUAACCCCAUAUUUCCUUGCAGUCUGCGAGUCUGUACUUGGCUCAACUGUUCCAGCUGAGCUCCUUCUAUUGCAGUGUACCUGGGUACUUACUUCCAUUGUGCUGCCUGGAGAACAUGGGGCUCCCUGAUCAGUGCUUGAAGGAACGCCACACAGCCCCUGAGCCUGGCCAUAGAAUCAUAGAAUCACAGAAUCACCAAGGUUGGAAAAGACAAGAUCAUCCAGUCCAACCAUCCACCCACCACCAGCAGCUCUCACUAAACCACGUCCCUCAACACAGUGUGUACAGCAGCUCCAGUAGCUGCCACAGCACACCAUCCAAAUGACCUCUUAGAUAUGGGUGUGUUCUGCUGGAGUGCAGAGUGGAGACACAUCACUGUCCUGAAGGGAAGGGCACAAACUGGAGGUGCAGUGGUGCUCAGGAUGUGUCCUUGCUGUGCAGAGUCUGACAAGUAUUUAUCAGUGCUCCACCACCUCAGUCCAUUUUGAUUUCCUUCCUUACAUCAAUUCUUUGCAUCAAAAGGAGGAACUAUACAUUCACACACCAUUUUACACUGCAAAAAACAUAACUUGUCUUGUGUUGUUGUAGUUCAUGGCAAUAUUCCAGGCUUCCAGGUAAAUGUUUCAUCAUUGGAUCUCAAAGAUAGUUAAUAGUCAACAGUGAAUAAGUUCUGCCAUUGCAAUAUUCUGCUCAGAUGUUGGCAAAGCUACGCACAUCUGAUUGUUUUCAUGCAAAUGCUCUCCUUUACCACAGAAGUUUGUUGCUGUAAAGAGAAGAAAUAAUUGAUGCUGGGAUGCAAAAUCCCCUCAAGUGAAGGCAUUGCACACUGGGAAAAUUACAUGGUAAGGAACAAAGUUUCCUAUUAUCUGUUACCUUCUCGACAGGACAUUUUAUAACAUUUAUGUGCUUGCGUGUGGCAUCAGCUGUUUUGGCAGCUGAAGAAGUAGUUACUCAUGCCUUUGUAGCACUACAAAAUGUAUUUCAUGCUGAUUAAGCUCACAAACAGGAGGCUUCAGCCUGCAGCAUUUGAACAUCUGGAUGUAGUUACUGAGUUAUGUCACCUUUCAUCAGCUCAGGAGUGCAGUGCAGAGCAGCCUGAUGGGCUCUGUUAGUGAGGGGUGGGCGCAACAUUUUUGUCUGCGUUUCUUCAGAGUUCACAAGUCAAAUGCCUGCGUGACUCUUGGUGAGGACACAGAUCUGACAAUUACUGUAUGCUCAGAGUUAUUCAGAACACAGUUUUCCAUCUGAGUCUCAAGAGGCUUGCCCACAGUCGUGUCACGCAUUAUCCUCUCAGCAUGAUUUAUUGCGUGUGAUUAAGCAGAAGAGACUAUUUCCCAGUUUGAACUACCAAAUGUGUUUUCCCCAUUCAAACUUUCAUUCGGUUUUCAGACUGUGACUCGUUAUCUCUCUUCCUUUCCCUGUUUUUCUCCAAUUUGCACUAUUACCUACUGAAUAUGCAGCCUGUUUAUGGUCAGCAGCUUUAGAAUUUUUAGAUGGCUCCCUUUCUCCAACUACUUGGAUGAAUCACUGUUCUUUGCAGUUUCUUUGUUGCCAAUGUUCUGAAAUGCCAAACUGUAAUGGUUUACUCAUCCUGUUGAAUUUAGUAGUUGUUUUGCAGGGACUGCAACCCAGAUAAAUUAUGGUAUUUGCCUCUUUAUUCCACUUUGUUCAUUCCUGAACUUGGGCUGGAUGUUUUUUGCUGUUCCUUUUAGAAGCCUAAGUGGGAAUCCAGUACAAAAUUAGAAACUGGAUUUCAUUUAUGUCACUUCCCUUGCCACAUAGUAUUUUUCAUCUAAGAACAGAAGCCACAAAACCCCUCUGAUCAAAGGAUGGGAACACUUCUAUUUUCUUCCCUAACUGCACAUACCUCCCCAUUACCCCAUGGGACCGUGCUUUGAAUCUUGAUAGGGCAGCAUCAAGAUGUGACCUUGCUUUUUUAGAGAUAAUUUUAACACCAGCACUGGGUCAGGCAUGUGAGAACCAAACCCCUCAAGGAUUCCAUCUUCUUUACAGAGCAUCUCUGUAAAACAGCAAGAACUUGAUGGUGAACGGGGAAUGAGAGGAAAGGCUGUUUGAUUUGCGCUGCAUUGUUCCACAUGUAAUUCCUAUUGUCAGUUUGUCACAUGUGGCUUCUGUAAGACAUCACGGCUGUGUCACAGACUCUGAGAUUAACAGAAUUGUUGCCAUGGGCAUGAGUGUUGUACAAUGGACAGUUUCAGAAAAGCCACCAAGCGAACAGCAUUUAGCAGAAUGUGUUACAUCCUCAGUAAAGAAACCUGUCCUUAAAGCUGGAUUCAACUGAUUUCUUAAUGAAAAUAGAUUCCUAUCCCCUAUCACUCUGCUAACACUUUUCUGUACUUUAUGUAGGGCAACAGAAACCUUGUUCUGGAGAAGAAAGAGCACCCAAGUGUCUUUAUUAAAAGCUCUGUGGGGACAGGCUCAGAAGAAAGUCCUCCUGGCAAUCCCAUUUUCAGAAUGAACCAGAAUGAGUUCCACAGACAGAAUGUGCAGUUGUCUUGAACUGGAGUUACAUCUGAUCUAAAGAUUGUAUUGACCCAGUGAUUGUGCUGAACAGUGCUGAAACUGUGGCACGGGGCUUCUGCUUUCCAAAGUACUGACAUAGAGAAGUAAAUGAGUUCAGAGCCGCUGUGCAGCCACAUGGCUGGGUCAGAAUGAGAUCUGUGUGCAGGGCCAGAAGCACCCCUUAUUGUCCUUUGGGUAUGUGCAUUGUGACAGAGACUGCUGUGCUACUGCACUAUGCCUGUGAGGCUGGCAGCUGGCUGGGAGGGAGGGCCCUCUGUGCCCCCCUGUGUCCCUCUCUGUGCCACAUCUGGGUUUCAUGAAGCUGAAAUCCAACUUUAACAUAACCAUUUUUCUUGGAAAAUCAGAUCCUUUUGGGCAGUGAAUAUCCACAGGCCACAGUGUGCAGCAGCACUGUGAAUGUAAGGGGUACGUGUGCUUGCUUUCUUUCUGUUCAUAUUGACUGUUAAGAACUAGACUGGAGAUUCAGAAAGGGCAUAAAGGCCAUGGGUUGAAAAGCCCUGCUCCAGAGGACCCUGUCUGGAAACAAGUAUUCCUUCAGACACAGUAACGAGGCAUUCCCUGUAGUAGCUACAUGUGUUUCUCACUGUUGGGCUGCAUUUUCUCUCAUGUUUAUUUCAACAAAAAUGCCUUUUCUUCUUCUUUGCUCCCCAGUCCUGCCCUGCGGCCUUGCUGUGACCGCACGCUGCCUUGACAGUGAUCACUGGCUGGAACGAUGUGCUUCGCCAAGGUUGUCUUUAUUUAGACAAGGCUGCUGCUUUCUGAACUGCUUGCGGGAACAGAGGGGUCAUGCAGUAACCACUCUGCACCUCCUGUGUCAGAGGACUGUGGCGCACUCAGGGGAACACGCCUUUGGUAUUUUUCUAUGUUCUAACAGGGAAAACGGGGUAUUUGGAAUAAAGCAGCAAUGAAACAGACAGUAAGGUGGGCUUUUCUUUGAGUAUAACCCCAGAUUCUGGUCAGUCCAGCCUGAUCCCAGACAGAUAGCCAUGGCAGCAGCCUGAGCUCAGGCAUGGCUUCAUCUUCCUGCCUUUCCUGUAUUAAAGAACAUGGCAGCUUGCACUACAAAUAAUGUAUCUGUGCUGUUUACUACCACUGCCAGCAUUCCAGGAGAGCCAGAAGGGUCUGACACAGAUCGGCCUCUGGUUGUUGCCACAGCACCUGCGGAUGGUGUUUGUACUGAGGUCACAUUCAGAUGCAAGAAAGGUUACAAGCUGCCAAUAAUAAGAGUAACAAAAUACAGAUUUCCUCAGACCAGUGGCAAAGCCAGGAAUGGAGCUCAGGUUACUGCCUGCUAAACUUACAGCCUGUCCCAAAUUUAUACCAGAUGAGUGUAACAGGUUGGCAUGGAGUUAGUGCAAUUAAAUUCCAUACAUGUGGGUAACCCUUUGUUUAGUUACCAAGCCUAAACUCAAGAGCUGGGGUAGGAAACAAAGUGCAUAUGAUGCAAUGUGUAUUUUUUUAAAACUGGAAAACCAAAUUCAGGGUUGUGAGCCUGAAUCUCAGUUAGUAUAGGCUGUGAAUUCUGAUGAGUCUGUGCAGAACAACAGGAUCUGAGCGUGGGUGUUGGUUUCAUAUCCCAACACAGAAGAUUUGGGAUGAAUAUUUCAUAAGUUCACAAAGGUCCUGAGGAAUAUGCAUGAUAAAAAAAGUACUGGUUAGUUUGAAAGAGGUUAACAGCUUUCUAAAUAGAAUAAAGUAGAUAUCAUGGGGCUCUCAGCUAGAUAAAUGCAGGCAUAUUUCCUAAUUUCUCUGCUGCAAAACAGUCCUCUACUUCUCGCUGAGUCUUUUCCUUUUAUAAGGUGAGGACUGGAGGACUCAGACAAAACAGAUGAUGUUUGGUCAGAUGAGGGUUUAAAUCUGGCAGCUAAUGUUGCCCAUAGCACUGCCUGCGCUGAAGAGAGAGAAAUUGUGCAGUAGGCAGGUAAUUCAUAACCCUGGAGAGGUAUCUGAAUAACAGGACAGAAUUGCUCUGUUACAGCUCCAGCCCCUGCAGUGAAAUCCAUCUGCAUGCAUUGCACCCAACCUGUUGGUCACAUCCAUGAGUGCCCCUGGCACAUACAGCCUUCCUACCACAUUGGUGUAGUUCAUGUGAUACACACUCAUACUGAGCAAUCCAUGAAUGGGUCUGUACAGCCGUCUAAGAGGGACAGUGUUACAGUCAUGUGGUCAUAAUAAAUCAUAAAUCUGUGCCACCCCUUUAACAAAUGAUUUCCCCAUCUACAUGCUAAAGUUGAGGUACAAAUUUUUUUUUUUUUUUUUUUUUUGCCAAUAUCUUUGCUGAAAUCGAGUGUUUGGAUGGAUUAUGUGCAUGACUUUCCUUUUAAAUACCACUAAACUGAUGUUUGUGAUGUGCUUGAUUGACUGUUAAUGAAGGAUAAACUGGGGUUACAAACACAACUCUGUGUUGCCUCAACUCUUACUCUGCCCUGGAGUCAAUUCUUAUCUGUGUGGCUGCAUUUGGGUAUGGGAGAAAACUUCAAAUACUCAUAAUCAGAAAAAAAAAAAAAAAAAAAGUUCUCUAAUAUUCAAAGUCUUUAAUAUAGGCUUUGCUGGAACAUCAUUUGAAAAGUGUAAUUCCACAUUUCACAUAAACCAUCACAGUAACUCUUGGAAUCAGAAGCAGAGAGGCUGAUCCUCCCUUCAUCUGCACAGCCCUCACCUCUGCUGUCAUUAGCAGGUUCUCCAACCACUACCAAUGCAGGUGGUUUUUUGUUCACUAAACUUCCAGAAUGUAACUUCAUGGCCCACACAGGAGCAAUCCUUCUCUACCUGAACACUUAGACAGUGAAAAGAUAUCCACGUCUGCCUGUGCAUGGACACAGAUGUGCAAACAAAAUAACCAUCUUGAGUUUUAUUUCCUUACAAAAAUUUAAGAAGUCAGGCUCAAAGAAGAGGAGGAAGAGGAAAUACUGCUUGGGCUUCCCAGUCAGUCAUUUGUGAAAUAAACAAACACGGAAUCGAUUUGUUUUGUAUUUCAGCAUGAAAACAGACUGAAAUCUGCGUGGGAGUUGAAAUCAAAGCAUAAAUAGAUGUAAAAAAAAAAAAAAAAAAUCCAGUGGAGGAUCUAAGGGCAAAAAGCCACCUGGGAAGGGCCAGGAUGACCCCACCAGGCUGUCCCGUGCGGUGGGUACCCUCUGGCUGCUAUGCAUGGAGGUCCCCAAAGAUCUGAACCAAAGGCUCCGAGGGCAGCCCUUCCUCCAGCAGCACCGGGAGGAGCAGGCAGAGCUCCCAGAGCUGGCAGAACAGCACCUGGAGCAGAAGCUGAGCAUGAAGCUGGCCAGCUGGGAAAUGAGCUAAUGAGGUGCAGAUGGUAUGAUUCUUAGAGCACAAAGUGCAGGUCAUGGCUGCUGUUGCUCUCCUGGGAAGCUGGAAAGAAGGUGGUUCUGCUGCUCUGUUUCUCCUGCUGGUAUUUUGCCCAGCUAGCUGUGUGCUACAAAUGAGCUGGUGCUCUCUAACAGCACUAGGAAUGGCCUUUGUUUGCCAUUAAUGUUAAAAAGAGAUCAGCUAUUUACAGACGGCUUGGUAGUUGUUCUUUCCUGAAUGCUUCCUUGUGUCUUGAGUUCAUAGUGCUGCUGGAGCACACUAGGAAGGGUGCCUUUCUGCAACAUCCAUGUGCUGCAAGUGAGGUUCAGGCAGCUCAGCCCAAACCUGGCUCACACCAUCCAGCUGCCAGCCUUGGCAUUCAGCUUGUAGAAGGCUUUGACAAGGUGAAGAGCAGUUCAGUUGAGCUCAUGUUCAGCACACAGCACAGACUGAAGAAUCCUACGUGAUGACUGAAAAAGCUGUCUCUGGGACCAACCGAGGGAGAAGAAAUCUGAAAUAGCCAAAUGGAUAUCUUUUCUUACCUGGACUGAUUUGCAAUAAGAAGUGCAUGGAAACAGCUUGGAGUUGGAAUAUGAGAGAGGAAGAAGAGGAGAGCUGCUCCCAGCCCUGCUGCUGACUCACUGCCACUCUCUACCAUUAGAAAACCGAAAUAAAUCAUUGUAUCACCACUUCCUUCUGUCCAGAUCUGCAGUGAGGUUUACACUGGAAAAGGUUGUAAAGCAUUCUGCUGCUCACAAAUGGGGAAACUGCAGGGAGGGAAAAGCACAGAUGUCUGACCACGGUCUGACCAUUUGAUCAAAGAAAUGAAAUUUCCAAAGGCUGCCAUGUCUGUCUUCUGGGAUUGGGAUUCAUCCUUCUGUGUCCCCAUUGACUUCUCCAAAUCCUAGGAAAGGACUUGAAAUACUUUGCUUUAUCUGCGGGAAGGCAGAAGCUGCCUGAAAUCUGAAGAUUCUCUGAAUGC
This 14093-nucleotide long non-coding RNA is filed under the name Gallus gallus (chicken). Its description in RNAcentral is "lncRNA (ENSGALG00010019604.1)". Lineage: Eukaryota; Metazoa; Chordata; Aves; Galliformes; Phasianidae. The record is from RNAcentral.